Cyprinus carpio (common carp) is the source of this 1432-nucleotide long non-coding RNA. The record is from Ensembl. NCBI's taxonomy places the organism in Eukaryota, Metazoa, Chordata, Actinopteri, Cypriniformes, Cyprinidae.
ACUUAAUGACACAGUUUUCAUUUUGGGGUGAACUAUCCCUUUAAGUUUAGUGUUAACCUUUUGAAAUUAAAAUGUAAAACAAGAUACUACUACUACUAAUAAUAAAAAGUUAAAAUUAUUUGCAGAGCCACUUAGUCUGGGUCAUCCUCCAGGAAACUGGCACACAACAAAGAUCUCAUAAUUACAUGGUCACAGUUUAAAAAUAGUUGAAAUGGCGUGAGGAAAAAGUGACGAAGCAAAACCUGACUCACCUCCACCUGAGCGUCUCUGUAACGUUACAUCACAUCAGACACACCGGAUAAGGAGCUGUUUCAAAAAGUAUUAUGCAAUGCAUACAAUUUGUCUUUGGAAUUUGAGUCAUGUGGUGUUUCUUCAACAGGUUUAGUGAGUUUGAUGCGAUGAGGUCAUCAUGUCAAAUUCAGUAUAAAAAUCCCCAUGCUCGUCCGAUCAGCACACAACGGAUGGUGGAAACAAACACCAGCCUAAAGCAAGACUGAAGACUAUACCCACAUCUACUGCAGUCGAAGCUUCUCUGAGAGAGAUGAAGGUGAAGAUGUUGGCCGUGUUGGCUCUGGUUCUUCUGGUCUCCAGUGCGAGUGAGGGACGGAUUCUCAGUAAAUGUGAGCUGAAGUCCCAACUCGAGGCGGCAUUUGGGGGAAAUCAGGGAGGAAAUGGACCUGCAACUGUCACUAAUGGGCCUGGAAACGUAACUGUGCCUGGAGACAUGCCUGGAAACGUAACUGUGCCUGGAGACAUGCCUGGAAACGUAACAGUGCCAGGAAAUACAACUGUAAAUCCACUCAUCGCCCAAAUUGUUUGUUCUGUGGAGCAUGUUUCGAAGUUCGACACCAGCCUGGUCACCACCAUCCAAGAAGACCCCAGACCUCCAGUGAGACCUCCAGUGAGACCCCCUGUCAGACCACAACAACAACCCAAUGAAAGACCAGGGGGAAAACCUGGACGUCCCGGCAGAAGGGGAAAGAGAUCUCAUGCUGGGGCACUCAGGAGGCCAGCUGGAUUUUCUCGUGACAAUUCCGAGAGUUCCGAGAGUUCCGAGAGUUCUGAGGAGAAUGUCGCCACAAGACUGUUUGGAAUCUUCCAGCUGAGCGACCGUGUGGCCUGCGAUUCCGGAUCCGGCCAGAGUCUGAACAUCUGCAACAUGAACUGCAGAGCUCUGACUGACGAUGACAUCAGGGAUGACAUCAGGUGCCUGAAGACCCUGCUGGACAGCGCAAGAAAUGCCACUGUUUCAGCCUUCGCUUCUCCACCCAAUAAAAUGCCACUUGUAAUUCUCUCUGUGAACGAGUGCCGCAACAUCAAUCCUGCGCAGUACUUUGCUGAGUGUCGCUGAAACAUUCAACGUUUCUACAGACAUGAAUAUUCUGUUAAAUUUCAUCCCAACGUAUUAUUGUAAUAAACCCUACAGGAACUA